AGACUGUAAGCAAUGGGUUUAUCGUGAUAUCCUCGGUCUUACUUUUGUGCCCUUUUCAGAGAAAAUGUUAGUUUUAUUUUUAUUUUUGGUUUCGUACUCUACAAAGUGAUUGAAUGGCAUUAUCGAACCAUUCUUAUGUUCAAUCGCAUGCACUCUAUUGAACUGACGCGUUACCGAAAUGCCACCGAAUUGUGAGAAAUAUCGUUUCCAUCUGCUCUGAGCGGCUAGUCGGCGACACUCAUUAUUUCCAGCGACGGGAAGCGCCCCGUCAGUCGGCCCGGAGGCCAAGGCCGACCAACCGGUGGCGGCUCGCUCGGUUCCUAUCUCGCUGACCUCCACCGUUCGCCCACAGCAAAAACACUCGGCGAGGGUUAGAUUGUGAAAAACUGAACGUGGUAUCAGUAAACAACUGAUAAUGGGUUGACGACACACCAAGGGCAAACGACUGUCGGAUAGGUAUAAAACGGGCGCCAGACGCAGCAGCGACACACUCACACAGUCCACACCACACUCAACAACAUCCACUCUCCAACACUAUCACUCGACAUGCACACCCUGCCUGCUGUCGUGGAGCUGACGAGAAAGGCCAUUGGCACGACUUGGCAGCUGCAGACUGUUCUUUCGGCACUUCCGGCUUCUUCAUCAGCCUGCUCGAGUGCGAUAGCAGCUCGUGCAGGACUGAUUUUCGGACUCUUUCGGUUCUUCAUAUCGGCCUGCUCGAUUGCCUUAGCAACUCCUGCAGAACUGAUUUUCGGCCUUGUUGGUUUCAGUCUCAUCUUUCGGCUCAUUUCAAUAUAUCUACUUUUUGUUCA
Long non-coding RNA from Amphibalanus amphitrite, 812 nucleotides. RefSeq lists it as uncharacterized. NCBI's taxonomy places the organism in Eukaryota, Metazoa, Arthropoda, Thecostraca, Balanomorpha, Balanidae. The record is from RefSeq and is a predicted model, not a curated record. The transcript is spliced from 2 exons.